UACGUAGGGUGCAAGCGUUAAUCGGAAUUACUGGGCGUAAAGCGUGCGCAGGCGGUUGUGCAAGACAGAUGUGAAAUCCCCGGGCUCAACCUGGGAACUGCAUUUGUGACUGCACGGCUGGAGUGCGGCAGAGGGGGAUGGAAUUCCGCGUGUAGCAGUGAAACGCGUAGAUAUGCGGAGGAACACCGAUGGCGAAGGCAAUCCCCUGGGCCUGCACUGACGCUCAUGCACGAAAGCGUGGGGAGCAAACAGG
RNAcentral lists this ribosomal RNA (253 nucleotides) under uncultured bacterium. Its description in RNAcentral is "partial 16S ribosomal RNA". It matches the Rfam family "Bacterial small subunit ribosomal RNA", at positions 524 to 776 of the family's 1533-position model. The record is from RNAcentral.